GACGAACGCUGGCGGCGUGCUUAACACAUGCAAGUCGAACGGAAAGGCCCUGCUUUUGUGGGGUGCUCGAGUGGCGAACGGGUGAGUAACACGUGAGUAACCUGCCCUUGACUUUGGGAUAACUUCAGGAAACUGGGGCUAAUACCGGAUAGGAGCUCCUGCUGCAUGGUGGGGGUUGGAAAGUUUCGGCGGUUGGGGAUGGACUCGCGGCUUAUCAGCUUGUUGGUGGGGUAGUGGCUUACCAAGGCUUUGACGGGUAGCCGGCCUGAGAGGGUGACCGGCCACAUUGGGACUGAGCUACGGCCCAGACUCCUACGGGAGGCAGCAGUGGGGAAUAUUGCACAAUGGGCGGAAGCCUGAUGCAGCAACGCCGCGUGCGGGAUGACGGCCUUCGGGUUGUAAACCGCUUUCGCCUGUGACGAAGCGUGGGUGACGGUAAUGGGUAAAGAAGCACCGGCUAACUACGUG
RNAcentral lists this ribosomal RNA (468 nucleotides) under uncultured bacterium. Its description in RNAcentral is "partial 16S ribosomal RNA". It matches the Rfam family "Bacterial small subunit ribosomal RNA", at positions 28 to 507 of the family's 1533-position model. The record is from RNAcentral.